AGUGAACGCUGGCGGUAGGCCUAACACAUGCAAGUCGAACGGCAGCACAGUAAGAGCUUGCUCUUACGGGUGGCGAGUGGCGGACGGGUGAGGAAUACAUCGGAAUCUACUUUUUCGUGGGGGAUAACGUAGGGAAACUUACGCUAAUACCGCAUACGACCUACGGGUGAAAGCAGGGGAUCUUCGGACCUUGCGCGAUUGAAUGAGCCGAUGUUGGAUUAGCUAGUUGGCGGGGUAAAGGCCCACCAAGGCGACGGUCCGUAGCUGGUCUGAGAGGAUGAUCAGCCACACUGGAACUGAGACACGGUCCAGACUCCUACGGGAGGCAGCAGUGGGGAAUAUUCGACAAUUGGCGCAAGCCUGAUCCAGCCAUACCGCGUGGGUGAAGAAGGCCUUCGGGUUGUAAAGCCCUUUUGUUGGGAAAGAAAAGCAGCAGGUUAAUACCCCGCUGUUCUGACGGUACCCAAAGAAUAAGCACCGGCUAACUUCGUG
Molecule: ribosomal RNA, 492 nt
Filed under: uncultured bacterium
Lineage: Bacteria
Description: partial 16S ribosomal RNA
Rfam family: Bacterial small subunit ribosomal RNA
Source: RNAcentral